This 412-nucleotide ribosomal RNA is filed under the name uncultured bacterium. RNAcentral's name for it is "bacterial SSU rRNA". It matches the Rfam family "Bacterial small subunit ribosomal RNA", at positions 19 to 455 of the family's 1533-position model. The record is from RNAcentral.
CUGGCUCAGAAUGAACGUUGGCGGCGUGGAUUAGGCAUGCAAGUCGCGCGGGUGUAGCAAUACAUCAGCGGCGUAAGGGGACAGGAAUACGUAGACAACCUACCCCUCGGGGACCUGAAUAGCUGCGGGAAACUGCAGGUAAUGCGGGAUAACGUCUCCGGACCAAAGGUGUGAGUCCGGCCGGAGGAUGGGUCUGCGUCCUAUUAGCUAGUUGGUGAGGUAAUGGCUCACCAAGGCAAUGAUGGGUAGCAGGUGUGAGAGCACGACCUGCGUCACUGGGACUGAGACACUGCCCAGACACCUACGGGUGGCUGCAGUCGAGGAUUUUCGCAAUGGGCGCAAGCCUGAACGAGCGACGCCGCGUGCGGGAUGAAGGCUGGUGUACGACUGUCUAGUGGGGUAGGAAGUAGUA